GCCUGGGUGGCUGAGUCAGUUAAGCAUCCGAUUUCAGCUCAGGUCAUGAUCUCACCAUUCAUGAGUUCGAGCCCCACCUCAGGCU
Molecule: transfer RNA, 85 nt
Organism: Felis catus (domestic cat)
Lineage: Eukaryota; Metazoa; Chordata; Mammalia; Carnivora; Felidae
Rfam family: tRNA
About the family: Transfer RNA (tRNA) molecules are approximately 80 nucleotides in length. Their secondary structure includes four short double-helical elements and three loops (D, anti-codon, and T loops).
Source: Rfam